GUGCGCGCCCGGCCGGAAGUGCGCUCGCGUGGAGUUGUGGGCGCGUGGUGGGUUUGCCGGUUGGGAUCGUGGGUUUCAUAAAGAGGUUUUGCGUUGUUCCUUUUCGUCCUCAACAUCCUCGUGAUAUGGAUGUGGAUACUCAAACCUAUUUUUUGGAUGAGAAAACUGAGGCUCCAAGAAGUAAACCAACUCGCUCAGCUACAUGGAACCACCACCUGGUGAGCGGAGGCGGGACAAUCAGAGCCCUACGGAUUCUCAGUGGUGCCACAUCGGAGGUAGAGCCUCAGUACUGGGUGUGGGAUCUGGGCCGAAGAAAGGAGCCCUCGUUUCUCAGCCACACUCACAGGAGGUUAGCCUCAGCAUUAGGUUGAUGGGGACAAGAUGAAACUGGUGAUGUCCUG
This is a long non-coding RNA of Prionailurus viverrinus (fishing cat), 401 nucleotides long. RefSeq lists it as uncharacterized. The record is from RefSeq and is a predicted model, not a curated record. NCBI's taxonomy places the organism in Eukaryota, Metazoa, Chordata, Mammalia, Carnivora, Felidae. The transcript is spliced from 3 exons.